UAAAGAAAAUAUGAGCAGUCCUUUGGAUUAUGAGUUGCAUAACCUCACACUGGAUUGGCCGAUCAAUAUAAUCUCGGUUCUUCUGAUAAAAAAAUCAUGGAAGAUCACCAGUUCAAUGGAAGAUCACCUGAUCAAUAUAAACGUGGAAGAUCUAUUGAGCAAUACAAUCGCGGUAAAUCGGCAGAUAGAAGUACAUCCAAGCUUAAUGCCUAUCGAUCAGUAACACCCCCACUAAGCUAGAGAUCAUAUAGUCCCUAAAGACAACGGUUAGCAUCUCCACGGACAAACUCCAGAAAUCCCGAAUAUUUCAGACAACGGUCACCUUCACCAGGAUACGGAGCAAAUCAAAGUGUAACCUCAACAAUGGAGCAAAGGGUCGGGCCAGUAGGACAACUCAGAU
RNAcentral lists this long non-coding RNA (400 nucleotides) under Mytilus galloprovincialis (Mediterranean mussel). Lineage: Eukaryota; Metazoa; Mollusca; Bivalvia; Mytilida; Mytilidae. The record is from RNAcentral.